This 3123-nucleotide ribosomal RNA is filed under the name Triticum aestivum (bread wheat). Its description in RNAcentral is "partial small subunit ribosomal RNA". The record is from RNAcentral. Lineage: Eukaryota; Viridiplantae; Streptophyta; Magnoliopsida; Poales; Poaceae.
AUGAGUGCGGCCGGCGCUAGCUUGAGCUUGAGCGGGCAUCAGUCAGAUCGCGCAUCGCGUAGGCGUAGCUUCUUUCCAAGUUGCAAGACCAUGGUGCGAGCGCCCUCGCCUUCUUCUCUCCUCUACGCUCCCCUGCUCCUAGUGGCUGCGCUGGUCGGGCAGUACCAGGCGGGCUCGCUGAGGGUGGCGACGGCGCAGACCGUGGCGGCGCCGGUGCCGGUGCGCGUCGGGGUGAUCAUGGACUGGGCGACCAAGGCGUCGUCGGCGGUGUCGCUGAGGCGGCGGACCGGCAUUCAGAUGGCGGUGGAGGACUACUACGCGGCGCACCCGGGGUCGGCCACCAGGGUGGAGCUCCGCUUCGGCGACUCCAAAGGGGACGUCGUCGGCGCCGCCUCCGCCGCGCUGGACCUGAUAAAAAAUGACCAGGUGCAGGCCAUCAUUGGGCCCAAGACGUCAGCGGAGGCGGACUUCGUGGCCUACCUCGGCAGCCGCGCCCACGUCCCGGUGCUCUGCUACGCCGCCACUUCUCCAUCACUCUCUCCGGCGCAGACGCCCUACUUCGUGCGCACCGCCGCCAACGACUCCUUCCAGGCCACCCCCAUCGCCGCCGUCCUCGCAAGCUUCGGGUGGCGCGCCGUGACCGUCCUGCACGAGGACUCCCCCUACUGCGCCGGCAUCCUCCCGGCGCUCGCCGACGCGCUCCAGAGCGUCGACAGUGCAGCGAUCAUGGUCGUGGACCGCGUGCCCGUUCCGAGCAGCGCGGACGAAGAUGCCCUUGACGCGCUCCUCUACCGCCUCAAGGCGAUGCCAACGCGUGUGUUCGUCGUGCACGCGACGCAUGACCUCGCCGCUCGGCUCUUCCGGCGGGCGAGCAAGGCCGGGAUGAUGUCUGACGGCUAUGCCUGGGUUGCCACAGACGGCGUAGCAAGCUUCCUGGACAGUUUCGACCCCGAGGACCUGGACUUCAUGCAGGGCGUCGUCAGCCUCCGGCCUCACGUGAAGUACACGAAGCAAGUCAAGAACUUCUCUGCGCGGUUCAGGGCGAGGUUCCGGAAGGAGAACCCCUCCUCGGACGAUGACGUCCUCAACGACGCGACCGUGUUGAGGCUCUGGUCGUACGACACAGCAUGGGCGAUCGCCGCGGCGGCCGAGGCGGCCAGCGUCCCCGGCCCAGCAUUUCGAACACCGCAGAAUAGCACGGCACGUACAGACCUGGACCGGCUCGGCGUGUCGGCCACCGGAGAGGCACUUCUCAGGGCGGUGCUCAACACGACUUUCGACGGGAUGGCAGGCAGGUUCAAGCUGGUGGACGGGCAGCUGCAGGUCGCGGCGUACGAGGUCGUGAACAUUAUCGGGAACGGCGCCAUGACGGUGGGGUUCUGGACGCCGGAGUCCGGCAUCUCGCGGGACCUUAAAGUCGGCAGCAGCAAGGCUGCCCGGCAGCUGAAACCCAUCCUCUGGCCGGGCGAGAUGCUGUCCCCGCCAAGAGGCUGGACGGCGUCGCAGAACGGGCGGGUGCUCAAGGUCGCCGUGCCGGUGAAGCGCGGGUUCAAGCAGUUCGUCGACGUCGAGAACUGUAACUCAACAACCAAGAUCACCGGGUACUGCAUCGAAGUGUUCGACGCGGUGAUGAAGAACCUAGCCUACCCGGUAAGGUACCGGUACGAGCCGUACCUCGACAGCUCGGAAUCGUACGAGAAGCUGGUGGACCAGGUGAGCGGCGAGAAGGCGGACAUUGUGGUGGGGGAUGUGACGAUCACAGCGAGCAGGAUGAAAGAGGUGGACUUCACCAUGCCGUUCACGGAGUCCGGGUGGGCGAUGGUGGUGGCGACGAAGCCGGACACGAGCGCCAGCAUGUGGAUCUUCCUGAAGCCGCUGUCCCCCAGCCUCUGGCUCACGAGCCUCGCCUUCUUCUGCUUCACCGGCUUCGUGGUGUGGGUCAUCGAGCACCGCGUCAACCCGGAGUUCCGGGGCACGCCGUCGCAGCAGUUCGGCCUCAUCUUCUACUUCUCCUUCUCAACGCUCGUCUUCGCACACAAGGAGAAGCUGGAGAGCAACCUGUCGAGGCUGGUGGUGACCAUAUGGGUGUUCGUGGUGCUGAUCCUGACCUCGAGCUACACGGCGAGCCUGACGUCGAUGCUGACGGUGCAGCAGCUCCGGCCGACGGUGACCGACGUGAAGGAGCUGCAGAGGCGCGGCCAACACAUCGGGUACCAGGAGGGGAGCUUCAUCGAGCCCUUACUCACAAAGAUGGGCUUCGACGAGAGGAAGAUGAAGAAGUACAGCACGCUGGAGCAGUACGCCGAGGCGCUGUCGAAGGGCUCGGCGGACGGCGGCGUGGACGCGGUGUUCGACGAGAUCCCGUACCUGAAGAUGUUUCUGUCGCAGCAGAGUUCGCAGCACCGCGACGGGUACAUGCAGGUGGGGCCCAUCUACAAGACGGACGGCUUCGGGUUCGUGUUCCCGAGGGGGUCGCCCAUGACGGGGGACGUGUCGCGGGAGAUCCUGAAGCUGGCGGAGGGGGACAAGAUGGCGCAGAUCGAGAAGGCGUGGUUCGGCGAGCCCGGCGCUUGCCAGGACGCGCUGGCCGGCUGCGGCGGCGGCUCGUCGAACCUCAGCUUCUGGAGCUUCGGCGGGCUGUUCCUCAUCACCGGCGUCGUCUCCAGCCUCAUGCUGCUGCUCUACCUCGCCAUCUUCGCGUACCGCGAGCGUGAGGAGCUCCGGGAGGCGGAGGCGAAGGCUGAGGCCGAGGCCGGCUCCGGGAGCGUGUCGGUGCGGAGGCUGCGCGCGUGGCUGCAGCACUUCGACAGGAAGGACCUCAAGUCACCCACCUUCAAGACGUGGAACGACGGGUCCGUCAGGAACGGCAGCGAAUUCACGGGCAGGACGCCAAGAUGGAACGGCGGCGCCGGCGACGCGAGCAUGACGCCGAGGGCCGGUGGGGAGGAACACGCCAACGCCAUGGAAGGGACGAGCCCGCUGAGCGUGUAUAUCAGCUCCGAGAUGAACGCCGGCUCUUCGCCGGAGGGGACGCCCGCGUCGGAGAUCAGUGAGUCGUUCGAGCAGAGGAUCGAGGGGGCAGCAGCCGCCGUGGAGAUGACAAUGCCAACGGCCUCUCAGUAG